RNAcentral lists this long non-coding RNA (32055 nucleotides) under Populus tremula. Its description in RNAcentral is "long non-coding RNA (PTRE_LNC000897)". The record is from RNAcentral. Lineage: Eukaryota; Viridiplantae; Streptophyta; Magnoliopsida; Malpighiales; Salicaceae.
GCGGAUCAGCUUGGGUCGCUGUCUCUGAAUGACAAUCUUGUCUCUUAAGUGUGUUUGGUGGAUUAGGAAAGAGUGCUGAAUGGUUUGCAAAAUCUAGACCUAGUUUUACUGGCAGAAAAAUCAUUACACAUUCCUUUGAGUGUGUAGUUCUAGUUUUAUUAUGCAGGGUUGGAAUUUCGAAUUCUUGGUAUGCUAUUCAUUUGCGUGGUGCAAGGUCUCCAGAUAUUUGGUAGAACUUGAUAGAUUUUCGUUGUGAGUGUUUUGUGUAACUCGUUUGAGAAUUCUAUCUUGCAUUUCUGCUCUAGUUUGCUCAAUGCUGGCUGUGUGUUGAUGUUAUCUAGGCUUUGCAUUUUUUUUAAUCCGUUUCACUUGGAGGGAAUCAUGAUUGUGGGCCUGUGAAACAUUUUACUUUGAAGCAUGGUCUUAGUUCCUGUUGUUCUUAAACCAUAUCCCUCUACUAUUACUCCGGAAUGAAACUGGUAAUAUGGGGUGGAUUGAGCAUUUGACAUUCUGUCAAGAGCUUUUAUCCUGUAGGGUGCUAGUUGUUAAACCUGGCCUAGUGAAUUAACUUUAGAAAUAUGAUGGUUUUUUUAUUUAAAAUGUAAUUUUUUAAAAGUACAAAUUAUAUAUUUAAAAAUUAAAAAUAUAUAUAUAUUUUUAUGUGAAUCUCAAAAAAAAAAAACUGAAACCAUCUCCAAACCAAAGACGUUGCUUUCUCUGCCUGCUGUGUUGAAAAAAUAGAGCUGUUUCACUCUCCCCCAGAACUAAAGCUAGAUAGAGUAGGCCAAUCUUGUAACCAAGGACUAAGAAAACCAAAAGCCAAAAUAGCUCAAAGAAAACCAAGGAACGAUUAUAACAAUCAUCCUAAUAUUCAUUUAAGAUUUUAUUCUGUCUUAAUUAAUAUUGUUUAUGUGUGUCAAACUUUAUUAUUAUUAUUAAAUACUCUAACAGUGAAAGAUUUAUAUUACUAUUAUGUUUAUUUUUGCAUUUUAUUCAAUUUCAUUAGGUGAAUUUUUUCCAAUAAAAAUAAUGGUGAUAAAUAAAAAAUAGACAAUACCUUUAAGAUGAGAAAAAAAUAUUUGCCUACUUUAAAAUAUCAAGAAUAGCAUAGAAAAUAGAUUUAGUUUGAAUAUGAUUUUCAUUAUGUUAUUUUUCUUUGAAUAUAAAACAAUACAAUAUGAGUAUAUUUUUAAUGUUGAAAAAUAUUCGAAAGUGUUUUUUUAAUUUUUCUUUGAAAAAAAAUGAAAAUAGAAAGGAUUUUUUUUUUUUAACUGAAAAAUUCGUUUUUCCAAGGGUUUUGUUUUUCCCUUAAGGAAUGUAAUCCCGUCAAUAUUGAAUAAUAAGCAUAUGCUCUCUGUAUUGUAGUCUCACCUACUUCCCAUUACAUAGUUCCAAUUUGCAAUUAUUGAUGGCUUAAUAUUUUAAUUAUGUCAGAUUGGGCCAAACUUAGAGGACCUGGGCUGUAAAGGAAAAAAGUAUGACAGGAGGAUGGGCUGGCUAGACAAGUUGCCCAACCGUCCAGCAAAAGUGAGAGAAGGCAUGUUGGGCCGAAGGACCAAACCUCACAACAAGAAAAAGAUUAGGGUCUGGCCUGGAUGUAUAAUUGGGCCAAAGGCCCAAGCAUCCUAAAAAACCAGGUUGUUAAUAUCGAUAUUAUACUAAUCUUAUUAAUUUUUAUAGUGUUUUUCUAAAAAAGAUUUGGUAACCAAUCAUUUUAAUUAGUGAACUAAUGCGUUUUAAAGGGGUGAAAAAAAAAACACAAAAUAUUGAGUGGGAAAUUAUUGUAAAAAAACUGCAAUAAUUAUUAACGAGUACAGUUAUGAAAAAAAAACAAAACACAAAAUUUAACACGACUUAACUUUUAUUUUUUACCAAGUCAAAAUAAGAUCACAUAAUAUAUAUUUAUAGUAAAUCUUGGAUCGUCCAGUAAGAACCUAGCCGCUCAUUAACUCUUUAUCAGAUGGGGAGACAACAUCCAUGAACUCCUUAUCAGAUUCUAAAGCAGUCAUUUCAUCAGGGGAGAGGCAAAUCUCUAACUCUAUACUUCCUCCACCUUCAUGUCCAGGAUAACCUGAUGCUUUCCCGCUGAACUUAUGUGCAUAUCCACUGCGAAGUGCCAAAGCCUUCCCCAGUCCAAAUUCAUUCCCAUACUUGUUAAAUCUUGGUGAGCUCCCCAUCAUCACACUAUGUGUAUCAAACUGCUUGCCUAUCUGGUAAAUAAACGGGGACUUUAACCACAAGUUGAGAAGUUCCCUUGCCUUUUCAUCACUGUGGCUCACCACAGCUUGAUGUAACUGCCAUGCUGCCCAUCCAAGAUUCUGCUCCAGCAGCUCACCUGCGGUUGAAACCCCAGCUCUCAGUGGCUGAAUUGAGGUUCCAAAGUAGUCAGGAGAUAACGGUGGAUUCAAUCUUGAACGAUUAUUGGUAGCCAAUCUGCAACAGGUUACUUGAUCAUGAGGUAGAUUGCGUGCGCGUGUUAUGCAUCUCCAAACAAGAGCAGACAGGGACUGGAAAGAUGAAAUCUUGUUGGUGUUGAACUCUGCGUUGGCUUUUGCUUUGAGUCUUGCAAUUGAUUCUGAUGAGAAGUGAAACAUCCUUUCCUUGAGUAAAGGUGCUUCAAACGGGCUUAAGAAUUGGUCAUGGUGGGUGAAAGGAAGACUCAGUGCUGGACCAUGACCGUCAGGAAACCAGCGGCUGAGAACAGGCGGGCGCGAUAUCGAGACAUCGUCUCCUUUCCCUUGAAAGAUUUCAGACCAUAUUAAAGAAAUGCCAGAAAGAGGAUCCAUCAGCGACACUGUGAUUAAUGGAACAUCCAAUGAAGAUGCCAUCAGUUAGCUCUGUCACUUGAAUCGUCAGCAAAGAUUUGGUGUGACCAUCAUGGUUGAGGGCUCUAUCAUGGUCGAAGAAUGACUGAACAACCAAUGGAACAUAAGUAGGUGAAAGGACAUCUGACGUGGUGAGGUCAACGGUUGCAUAGGUAAAUCUAGCUCCUGGACUGUUACUGCAGUCCACGAAGACCACGUAGGAAGGUGGGUUCUCACUCUUUGAUGUUGCAAGGCGUCCGGCAAGCGGGUAGAAAUGAACAAGAGUGAGAGAGAGGGACUGCUUGAGAUCUUCCAAGAAAUCCAUGAUCUUGAAGCCCUGUUGAUUUUCUGUUUGUGGUGGUUUGGCAAAGAGAAGUCCCUUUUGAAUAUAGUGAGAAGAAAGCAUAAGAAGAUCCCAUGGUGACAAAUAAUAAGGCUGCUGUGCUUCGUCUACGAUGUGCUUGGGCUUGAUAAAGCACUCUGAGAUGGGCGUGACAGUAGUGGGAUUCAUUGCAAGAAGGGCCUCGUCUGCCUACCUUGCCCUCUUUAGAUUUACAGCUUCAGCUUUUGUAGCCGUCGCUGAGCUAGCCUGUUUGACACGACCUUAUUAUUUUUUAAAGUUUGUUUUUAAAAUAAAUUACAUCAAAAUAAUUUUAAAAUACUAAUAAAAAAUAAUUUAAAAACAAAAUAAUAAUAUUUUUUUUCUUCUUAAAAGUUUCCACCCAGAUAUUGGUAGUUAAAAAACAUUGAUGUUCCUGGCAAUUUCCUUUUCUUAACCUGUUUUGUUUAACGAAAACAACCCGGCCAACAUUGAACAAGUAGCGUAUGCUCUGUGCUAUAGUUUCACCUACUACCCUUUUGACAAUUCCGCUGUAGGUGGUUGCGGAUCGUGAUUACAAAAAAUAUUAAAAGACAUAGUUAUUUAUUGUGCCAUGGUCGUUGUAGUGGUGUUUUUACUGUUUUAUCCUUAUAUAAAAAAGUUUUGUUUAGAAUUUGGGGCUUUUUUUUUUUUAAUGUUUUAAACAUACCUUUCUGUCUUUCUCUCUGUCUUUUCUUUUUUAUUUUGCCUUCUGCCCAGUCGGCAAUAUAUAAAAGGAAAGAAUAACUGAUUUGUUUUAUUUUUUAAUGGUAAAUAACUAUUUUACUUUUAAUGCGUCGUUUUGUUUUUAUUUGAUGGUUUUUUUUGUUAACACUACUAAGCUCCGUUCAUCCUAAAAUUUUAACAAUAUUUUAUUUAAUAUAUUUUAAGAUUCUUCGUAAAAUUCCAGUUCAAUCUUAUGGUCAUAUAAAAAAUUACGCUCAAUAACAUAAAACUGGUUAAAUUGUGUUUUUUCAUCAAAUUUUUGAAUUUCUUUAAAAAUUCUAAAAUUUUAAUCCAAGAUAAAGUAUUAUAUUAGAAGACUCCAAGUAAAUUUUCAAAAUUUUUUGAGAACUCAAUCGAGAAUUACAAUUUGUUUUUACAUAAAACAGUAAAAAAAUAUUAAUUAAAUCUUGACCUGGACUAUAGAUCAUCCGAGUCUUUACCAUGCCUCCGCUACUGAGCAGAUGAUCACCAUGUCUCCUUUUCUUUUUUGCUAAGAACACAAAUCAAUCAUUUACUCUGCAUCUGUACUGUAAAUGCAAUGAAAAGAUUUGUGUUUUUCAAUCAUUUCCCACAAAUAAUUUACACCUUCCUCAGGAGCCAAAGCAUUCACAGCAAAAAUCAUUUCCCACUGAAUAAUAUUUUGGUUUUUUUUCACCCCUUUAAAACGUAUUAAUUCACCAAUUAAAAUGAUUGGUUAGCAAAUCUUUUUUUUUAAAAUAUAAAAUUAAUAAAAUUACCUAACCUAAUGGUCAAUAUGUUUCACUUGGGUUGAAAGGCUAUACAUAAUAAUGAAUCAUAAAAUAAUUUCAUUCUUUAUAUUUUUUUCGUAAGCCUAUGAGUCACUUUACCUAUAUUUUAAAAUUUCGGUUUCAAUUUUCAAAUUCAAAAUGGCGUUUUGCUAUGAAGAGGAGAUGCAGGGGUGAGAUUGACUUAGGCUAAGCUAAGAAAUUAAAGAUGGAGCUGCAAACGAGAGUAACAGGUUGGAGGGUCACUUAAACAAAAAGUAAUUUAAAGAAUCAAAAUAAUAUUAUUUUGAUUAAAUUUUCUAAAAAAUAAAAUUUAAUAGAUUAAAAAUUGGGUUUGACCCGGCUAGUCAAAUUGUUUACAUAUUAAUUAUGAAAAAAAUAAUAAAUUCAUUUAAAGACUUUCCUUGAUAAUUUCAUUCGAAGUUUCAGAAUGUAUUUUAGACUUUCCUUGAUAAUUUCAAAUUUAUUUUUUCUAUUUAGUUGUUUACUUGUUAUUUACUGUGGAUAUUUAAGAUAAUUAAAUCUAUAUUUUCAUAUUUUAUAGGAUUCUUGCUUAAUAAAACUCCAUACUUUUACAACAAUGAUCAUGUUCUUAUGGGGUCUUUAGACCAAAUUAUUCAUAUUCUCCCCAAAUCAUCAACGUGCCUCCUUUCACACUAACCUCCCUCAGAGCUAAUUAUAGCAUCACCGUGUACCUCCACAAAAAAGAGAUAGAAGCCAUGAAAGGGAACAACACAACAGAAGGGAGGAGUUUAACCGUACUUCUUAAGGUCAAUUUAUUUAUUCAAGAGUCAACCAUUUGGCAUUUGAAAUGCUGAGGCUGGGAUUUCAUAUCAUGAAUUAGCAGCAAGUUGCUUGAUAAUAAGAAAGAAGAUUAGUUGUAAUCUCAUGUGAUUAACAGGGUAUUGGACAAAAGAUUUUUAUAUAUUUUUAACAAUUUCUGCUUUAUUUAUUCUUGCCCACAUGGACUUGCCAUAUUAUUUGUCACCAUGGGAACUUGCUCUGCUCUGUGCUAUAGUUUCACCUGCUACCAUUUUGACAAUUCCGCUGUAGGUGGUUGCGGAUCGUGAUUACAAAAAAUAUUAAAAGACAUAGUUAUUUAUUGUGCCAUGUUCGUUGUAGUGGUGUUUUUACUGUUUUAUCCUUAUAUAUAAAAAAGUUUUGUUUAUAAUUUGGGGCAUUGUUUCUUGGUGGUUGUGGUCUUACACUCGUUUUCUGGACAGUGGGAAGGGGCUGUCACCGGUGGAAGAGUGACCGUGGGUGGGGGUGUGGGAGAAGGGAGGCUGAGGUGGCCGUUACAGUUUCAGCCUUUUUCUCAAUUUCCUAUUCAAUGCACAAAAAUAUUCUCAAACUUUAUUUUUGCUUGCGAAUACUUAAUUACUGGUUCACUUUUGAAAUUUCAAUUAUUUUUGUUUUUUUUUCAAGAUUCUUUUAACACAUCAAAUAAAAAUGAAAAAAAUAAUAAAAUUCAGAUUUUUUAUACUCAAAUGAUAAAUUUUUUAUGCUCAAAAUACUCAAAUGAUAAAUUUUUUUUCCCUACAUUAUCUAACUCAAUCCUUGAUUCAAAGAAAAGGAGAUGUCCAUCAAUCACUUUUUAUGAUUAUUAUGACUAAUAAUGUUGAUGUUGGCUAUCCUAACAUUCUUGAUUUCUCAACUCCCCAUAUCAUAACAAACUUCAUCUUAAUAAUGAGUUUCUUGCUCGGAGUAGAAGAAUAAGAAGAAUACAUAUAUAGGCAUUUAUCAUUAUGAAAUGUCAUCAAGAGAUGUUUUGGUGCAUUGAAGGUUAGAUUUAAUAUUUUAAAUGUUAUUCUAAGUUAUCCACUACAACGAUAAUAAUUAAUUUCAAUUGCUUGUUGCUUGUUUUAUAAUUGUUUUUGGAUGGAAAAUAGAGCGAUCGAUUAUUCACAAAAACAUGGUGGAGAAUGAUUGUAAUUUCUCGGCAAGGAGGGAGGAGCUGAGCUGGUGUCUUGUUUUGCCAAUUUAACUCUUUCUUUUACGGUAUUUUAAUUUACGCGGGUGAAAUCACGUGCAUGCCAUUCCUAAGAUAGUCAACUGAUUGUAAUUUGGAUGAUGGAUGACUAAGACGUUUAUGUCAUCCAUCAGGUGUAGUACAUUCAUGAACAUAGGCAACAACAUUUUUUUUGGUGGAUGGUAGAUACUCCGUAAAUGGGUACACUCUAUCUUCACAUUCGCCUUUGACUAAUAUCGCCCCCGUGAUCCGAUUAUUCACCAAAAAAUAAGUAUGAUGAAAUUCAAUAUAAACAUUGUUAUGCUUGGUAAAAUGGUGAACAUAGAUUAGAUUUUUAUGAAUAGUUGGAACACAAAGAGUGUCACGUAAAUGAAAGACAUGAUUGAAUGAUUUAAGAUACAAGAACCCAGUAUGAGACAAAGGCAAACCUGAUCCAUCACCAAUUACCACCUCAUCAGUACCAUCAUAUUCAGAAUUAAUCAUCAUAUUAGAGAGAUCAGUGGUCUUAUUGUGAGAUGUUGCUGAGUCAACUAGCCACUUAUGAUUUUUUUGUUGAGAGGAAGCUACACAAUUUGCAGUGAAAUUAGAAGUAGACAUAUUGGGACAUUGUUUUGCUGUAUGACCCAGUUGAUCACACCAUUGACAUUUCGGUUUAAACCUCCUGUGACUUGAAUUGAAUGUCCCAUUUCGGUGGGGCCCACUGUGUCCACGAGAGUUAUGAGAAGCAACCAGGGGGCGCCAUUUAGGCUGUCUAGAAUUGGAAGAAACUGAGGGCUCCAUCGAUUAGAGUAAUUAAUGGUGGGUACAAACGGGGUUGCAAAUUAUUGCUCCAGCCGCCGAAGAUAAUUAUCAUAAUUGACAAGAAGGUUAUGAAUUUCUUUAAAUUUCAGAGAGGUCUCACAGGCAUAAAUAGGUGCUACAAUUUCUCUGAAUUCAAUACCCAAUCCAUUGAGUAUGUAUAGAUUUAAAUCAUCGUCUGAAACUGGAUGAUUAAUGAUCACUAGUUCAUCAGCAAUCACUUUGAUUCCUUGAAGGAAUUCAAUAACCGUGUAAGACCCACGAUUGCUCAAGGUCAAAUCUUCUUUGAGCUGCAUCACACGCGUUCUUGAUUUGCCCGUGUAUAAACGCGUAAGUGUUGUCCAAGCCUCAUGGGAUGUUUUGUAGGCAUCAAGAAGAGGGGUAAUGGUGGUGGAGGUGAGGAUGUCAUGUAGGAUGAGCUUGUCUUGACGAAUCCAGUGGGAAUUCGCAGCUUUGAAGGCAGUGGAAUUCAGUGCAUCAAUGGCAGAGCAUUUGCGCAUACCCGUUACAAAAUCAAUAAGGUCAUACCAAUGAACAAGGCUUCAAUUGAGCCCUCCAAUGAGGAAAAGUAGAGAGGAUGAGUUUUUCAUUGAUGGUUAUGGCAACAUUGAUGGUGAUGAUGGGUGAGUUUGGUGAGUCAGUGUUUAAUGCAGAGAUGGUUGUCAUUUUGCAGGAAGCAGAAAGAAAAAAUAAAAAAACAAGAAUGAUGAAUACUCGUUAGGGAUUUUCAGGCUCUGAUACCAUAAAACAACUAACACUGCAAUAUUAUUGUAAUACAACUCACACCUUUUCCAUUCAAUUCUUGUAAUCUUUAUACAACCCUAAGAACUUAAUUUUAGGGAUUCAAAUGUGUGUAACGAACGGAUAUUUACAAUAAGAAUCAAUAACAAUAUUUGCAGGAAUAACAUACUGAUUCUAUAGUUAUGGAAAGCAUAAAAUCUGGUAUUUCUCAUGGUGACAACUACACUUAAAUUGGAAAUGAUUUGAAUUCAUCAGUUUCCUUGAUAUAAUCAUCAUUUUUUGCAUGUUUUUAAAGGAUUGACAACUCAAUUUCAAAACCACGAAACCUAUGGGAGUUGGGACAUGUACUUGUGCAUUUGAACUGUUGUUACUCAAUUUCGGACCCUCGCAUGCUGGAGAUGGUGUAUACCUCUUUUGAACAGAGUAUAGGAGUUUAGCUCAUGUUCGCCAGAAAAUUGACAAAAGCAUAAAAAAAAUAUUUUUUUUCGAAAGCCUUGUUCGAGCUGUUUUCUAUUUUUUUUUUAUCCUUCCCCUUUGCUACCAAAAUCAUCAGAUUUUAUUAGGUUGAUCAGGAGUCUUUAUAAUGCUAAAUUCGUUCCUUUUUUAUCUGGUCUUUAAGGUUGAAUAAAUCCCUCAGAAUUUGCACUAAAAAAAUGGUUCUGCUGCUGUGGCAAUUUUUUGUUCCAACUUAGGCUCUGAUUCUGACUCGGUUUCGUACGAUAUCUGACCAUCCUAGGUAUAUUUUGUCACUCAUGACAUGUUGAAAAAUUAACGUACACCUUUAUUAGGUCCUAGGGAUCAUUGUUCUUAGGGCAGAUUCUCAGUCAGAUUUGGAUGCUCAGCAUUGUCAGAUCAAGAACCUUUUUGACCAACUAGAUUACUACCAGUUUCUGUUCUGUAAAAAGAUUUUAUCUCACUUCGACUCCUUCAUCAAAGUUGUAGUCCUAGAUGCGUAGAUGAAUUUGAGCUUUUGAAUCACUUGAUUCCUAUAUCAAUGACUCAAGAUGUUCCCGUUUGAAUAUCUAACGUGAAGGUAGAGAAUUCUGCCGCGAGAAGGAUAUUGACCCAAGUCUGCACUAAAAAAACUCUAUUUUUGGCCUAGUUUUUGUGAUUUUUGUUCUUAGUUCAUACUCUCAGUUAUAUCAGGAUUCUUGGUAUUUGUCAGUUUUUGAGUUUAGACCUGGAGAUCCCUUUUGACCAACCAAAUUACUGCUAGAUUCUGUUCUGUAAAAAGAUUUUAUCUGACUUCGACUCCUUCAUCAAAGUUGUAGUCCUAGACGCGUAGAAUAAUUUUGGCUUUUGAAUCAAUUGAUUCCGAUAUCAGAAGCUCAAGAUAUUCCCAUUUGAAUAUCUAACGUGAAGGCAGAAAAUUCUGCCGUGGGAAGGAUAUAGCCCAAGUUCGCGGGGCUGAUUCGAAGGAUUUUUUUGGACCAAGGAUUGAAUUGAAAAUUGUUAAAAUGAGGGAUUGAAUUGAAGAAGGAUAUUGAAAGCUGGAGAGGGGGCUGGAUCAUCAUAAAUGACAUGAUUUUUUCCACACCGAAUAAGGAAAAUGAGACUUUGCGGCUGCACCCUCCAUCUGAUUUCUUUCCUUUUUUUCCGCUGCAAAUCCCUGUUGUUUUUCCUUUAUCAUCAUGCCUGGAUUUUGGAGCUACAACCACGUUUUUUCUUGCCUCAUUUCAAAGGGAGCAGCUGGCCCUAUGGAAGGAAAGAAAAUAGCCACACCCUCCUCUAAAACUGGAAAGAAAUCAGACGUAAAGCACCAGUAUAAAAUCAGAAUAUUGCAGCUUCCUUUUGUGUUUUUUUACUGCAAAUCAGUAGGGAUUUAUGUCCUAGGAUUAAUGCAUAGAAUCCUUCCUAAAUGGAGACAUAUUUAGACUAUAUAUAAGUUCCUCUAAUGACCUAACGGGGGCAGCAGAAAGAGAGCAAAAAAAUAGCAAGGAGAGGGCAGAAAAAUAAGAAAGAAAAAAAAGAAAUUAAAGAGAGGAGAGGAUAGAGAGAACACAACAAAAGAAAGAGAAGGAAAACGCAAGAGAGGCAGGUGACGGGGAAACCAAUCAUCUACCAGCACAUAGCUGGAAUAUUUCGUCCGUUUCAGCAUCUCUAUUUUUGUCUGUCAUAUCCCAGCAGCCAAGGAGGCACGCGUGAGCUGUCUUUCGGCCUUGUUUUUUUUUAUUUUCUGCAAACAGGAGCUGCAGUUUGAAGCAUAGUUUUGAAACCGGUCGACCCUCCGAGUUACGGGUCAGAUGGGUUGACCCGGGUUAACCCAAAAAACCUAUAUAUAUAUAUGUAUAUAUAUAUAUAAAAGACAUAACUAAUUACAAUACAACACUUACUUAAACCAAAUUUAAAUUAUAAACCAACAACCUAAAUUUAAUUUAAUAUCCAAAACACAAACCAAAUAUAAAUUAUAAAAUAUUUAAAACAAAACAUUCAACCACAUAAAUUCUAAAAUAUUAAAAACAAAACAUCCAACAACAUAAAUUCCAACAACAUAAAAUUAAAUAUUUAAAACAAAACAUCCAACAACAUAAAUUCUAAAUCAACAACCAUUCACUUAUGUUGAAUUAACACAUUAAGUUCUUCUGUCUCCAUGGAAGAAAAAUUUGGAUCAAAUGUCGAUGGAAUGGAGCCAAUCUCGUCAACACCUAAUAAAUCAUCAGCAUGCUCCUUUGAAACUUCAUCGUCACAAUCAUCUUCAAUAUCAUUAACAUUUAUGACAUCUACAUUUCAAACACAAUUAAAAAAAUAAAUAUUAUGUGUUAAACAAAACUUUAUUUUAAAUAAUAUUUAUCACUAAAUAAUAAUCAUUAAUUACCAUCAACUAAAGUAUCUUGUAUGGUCAUAGUUGAUAGAGCUUGGUGAAAACUCUCUACUUCUUCCGUUGUCAAUUGAUGGGUCAUCUUCGACUACCCAAUUUUCAAUGUCGAAAAUUGUCUCAACAUUAAUUGGAUCAUAAUUUCGUCCUUUCCAAUAAUUCCUAUAUAUUAAAAGUGAAGGUAAACACAAUAUAAGUAUUAAUAAUGCUACUAAAGAUAAAAUAAUAUUUAAGGAAUUAGAGAAAAGAAAAAUACUUUUGUUUCAAUCUUAGAUUGCAGUGGACGUAAACAAGGUCAUUAAGCCUUUGGUGCUCCAAUCUAUUUCUCUUCUUGGAAUGAAUAUGUUCAAACAUACUCCAAUUUCUCUCACAUCCCGAAGAACUACAAGUUUGACUUAACACUCGUAUAGCCAAUUGUUGUAGAUUUGGAGCGCUGGUUCCAUAUGUCAUCCACCAUUCAUCUAUACAAAAAAAUAAUAAGUAAAAGUGUAAGACUAUGUCAAAUAAUAUUUUUAAAUAUAAAAAUUAUAUACCUGGAGGCAUAAGGGUGCGAUUAUUUAUUGCGGACACUCGACCAAAGUCAUGUUCAACAUUCCUAAAAAACUUCAUCUCACUUCUAAUCUUACUUUGCAGUGGUAGAUUUCCAUGUGCAUACUUAUCAAGAACAUCUAGAAGUCCAGAAAUGGUGCUCAUAUGUUUAUCCAUUAUAUUUGCAUCAUAUUGAAAUCGAGGAUUCAACCAAAAUGCCGCUGCAUAAAGAUUUCUAUAAAAUUGUCCAUCCCACCGAUUAUUGAUAAUAUCUAUGAAAGGUUUCACUCUAGACUUUCUCUUUUGAAAUCUCCUCAUCAUUUUUUCUUUUGCAUGAUGAAUAGCAUCAUACAAAUAUCCCAUCGAAGGUCUAUCAUCACCAUCAACCAAUCGUAGAACUCGAACUAAAGAUUCACUCAUUCGCACAAUUACUGCACAUUCUUCCCAAAACAAAGAGUCUAGCACACUCUCAACAAACUUUUUUCCUUUGAUAUCUUUAGCAUAAGCAGAUGAGACCCAUUCCCUAUGUUGUUACUCAAUUUUGGACCCCACGUGCUGUAGACGGUGUAUACCUCUUUUGAACUGAGUGUAGGAGUUUAGCUCAUGUUUGCUAGAAGAUUGACAAAAGCACAUAAAUAAAUAUAUUUUUUUUGAAACCUUAUUUAAGCUGUUUUCUGGUCUUUUUUAAUCAUUCCCUUUUGCUACCAAAAUCGUCAGGUUUUCCUAGGUUGACCAACUAGAUUUACAGCCAGAUUCUGUUCUCUAAAACAAUUUUAUCUCACUUCGACUCCUUCAUCAAAGUUGUAGUCCUAGAUGCGUAGAUGAUUUUGUAUUUUUGAAUCGCUUGAUUUUGAUAUCAGAAGCUCAAGAUAUUCUCGUUUGAAUAUCUAACGUAAAGGCAGAUAAUUGUGCCGCGAGAAGGAUAUUGACCCGAGUUUGCACUAAAAGAACUCUAUUUUUGGCCUAGUUUUUGUGAUUUUUGUUCUUAGUUCAUACUUUCAGUCAUAUUAGGAUGCUCGACAUUCAUUAGUUUUUGAGUUAGACCCGGAGAUCCCUUUUGACCAACUAGAUUACUGCCAGUUUCUAUUCUAUAAAAAGAUUGUGUCUCACUUCGACUCCUUCAUUAAAGUUGUAGUCCUAGAUGCCUAGAUGAAUUUGAGCUUUUGAAUCACUUGAUUUCGAUAUCAGAGGCUCUAGAUGUUGCCGUUUGAAUAUCUAACAUGAAGGCAAAAAAUUCUGCCGCGAGAAGGAUAUUGACCGGAGUCUGCACUAAAAAAAAAAAUCUAUUUUUGGCCUAGUUUUUGUGAUUUUUGUUCUUAGUUCAUACUUUCAGUCAUAUUAGGAUGCUCGGCAUUCGUCAGUUUUUGAGUUAGACCCGGAGAUCCCUUUUGACCAACUACAUUACUGCCAGUUUCUGUUCUAUAAAAAGAUUUUAUCUCACUUUGACUCCUUCAUCAAAGUUGUAGUCCGGGACACGUAGAUGAAUUUGGGCUUUUAAAUCGCUUGAUUUAGAUAUCAGAAGCUCAAGAUAUUCCCGUUUGAAUAUCUAAUGUGAAAGCGAAGAUUCCUGUCGCGAGAAGGAUUUUUUUUCCAAGUUUGCAGGGACACAAUUGCAAGAUGCUUAAAGAUUGAAGACCAUUUGCAGGCCAAUUUGAAGCCCUUUUAUGGACCAAGGAUCAAAUGGAAAAGGUGUUAAAAUAAGGGAGUUGAUUGAAGAUAAAAUUAGAAGAAAUUUUACCGGGUGAUGAAAUUGAAGAACAUGAAUUAGAUCAGAAAAGGAAAAUAAUGCCUCCCCGUCCGCAAUUCUUUCUUUCCUUUUUCUCUACACAGCUACCCCGGUUAUCUUCUUUCCUUUUAUCUGCAAACCACGUUUUUAUUGCUUCAUUUUAAAGGGAGCAGCUGACUCUAUGGAAGGAAAGAAAAGAGUCGCACCAUCCUCUAACUAGGAAAGAAAUCACUGCUGAUCACAGAACCAGAAUCAAAUAUUCUGGUUUCCUAUUUUUGCUCACCCGAUAUUACACCAUAGAGUUAAUGUAAUAUUUGUUUCCUAAAUAAAGCCAUGUAUAGGCUAUAUAGAAGCCUCGGAUGCUGACCUAAAAAAGGGGGAAGAGGAGAGAGGACAGAAAGGAGAGGAACGAAAGAAAAAAAGAGAGCAGAGCUACAUUGUCGAAAGCAAAAAAAAAAAAUACAAAGGCAGGGGCGUGAACUCAACCAGCAUAACACACUUUCAUCAUCAUCUCCACGGAGAGGCAGGCAAUAGGAGAAGGAAAAGAGGGAGCAGAAAAAAAAAUGAAAACAGAAAAAGGAAGGAGAACAGAGAAAAACGAGAAAAGAAAGACAAGAAAAAACGAGAGAGAGGCAGGGCAGAGAAAGCCAUAAGAAGGAUACUGUCGAAAGCAAGGAAAAACACAGAGGCAAGGGCGACAACUCCACCAGCACAACACGCCUUCAUCGCCAUCAUCUUCGUUAUCUCGAGAGAAAGCAUCAGCAGAAGGAGAGAAAACGAACAGAGACCAAAACCGGCGUGGCCUAUCUGUUUCGCUGUCCCGAGAAGCAACAACCAUUGGCUGAGCGCAGAAGCUUCAGCACCUGUCAUCUCCGUCCGUCUCAGCGCCAGCAUUCAAGAAAAGGAAAGCAGAACAGAGAAGAAAGGAAAGAGAAGAGAAGAAAACAUGGAGAAGAAAGGAGAAAGAGGCAAGCAACACAGGAGAACGCCAAACGAACGCAAACAACGGAGGACUGAAAAAAAUGGCAUCGCCAACAGACCAGGUAAGCUGUCUUUUAUUCCCAGCUUUUGCAUGCAUUCUGAGUUGCAUUUGUUACUGUUCAAGUGAAAUUUAAUUCACUUAAACAGUAACCGCAAUGUGUAUUUUUAUUUUUUAUUUUUUGUUUUGUAAAAAAUAGAAAUCUAUGAAAAAGAGAGCACGUUUUGAUACCACGUUUUUGAGACCGUUUCAAAAGAAAAGGAGAUUUAUGAUUUUUUGUCAUAUUUAUUUUAAGGUCUGGUUUUUCUUUUGUAUUGUAAAAAAUAAAAAUCUUGCAUUUAGAAUACCUUGUUUUCGACGCAAAUGUGACAAAUAUACAUAUAUAGAAAAAUAAAUGGUUUUCUUGUGUAUUGCAUACGGCCAAUACCCUAACAUGUUUUGAAUGAUUUUUUUUUAUAUAUACAAAAAUAUUGGAAGUUUUAAAAAUGUGUUUUCGCAUGGAUUUCGUGAACAUAACAAAAAAAUUAUUUUCUUGCAUUUCUGGAUUUUACAACAUGUUUGUAAAACUCCAAAGGGUAUUGGUCAAUAUUCCAAAAAAAUAUAAAAAUCUUAUUUUUGGGGGAAUUCAUUUAUUAUUCAACGCUAAUGUUUGGAUUAAGAAAUCCUUAAAGGAUGAAUAUCCAAAAUAUUAUUGGGAGUAAUAAAUCCGCACACAUCCUUGAAAGAAGCCUUGAUUAUAAUCGAGGAUAUUUCAAAAAAAAAAUUUACUCCACGGUUUUACGAGUUGUGAUAGUAUAAAAUACUAAAAAAUAUAGGGGUUUUUUAGCGCUCUAGAUUUCUAGAUUUUUUGUCCCUCCUCCUUGCGAUUUACGAGUCGCAAACUCUUGAAAUACUAAGGGAAAAAUGAGCUUUCGAAGCACAUGGAAUCUCCUUGGAUUUCUAUCCUAAUAAAUUUUAUUUGAAUCAAACCUAGGAAAACUGAUGAGAUUAGAAAACACCAACACCAUAGCAAUUAUAGAGCAAACCAAACACCAAACAGCUUACCUUAGGUAGGGCGUACUAGGGGUGCUAAUACAUUCCCUUUACGCAACCAGUCCCUUGCCUUAGAAUCUCUGAAAGACCAGUUAGGGUUCCUAAUGACCAAAAUACUAGGUGGUGACUCCUUUUUUUUUUUAAAACAAAUAAAACCUGAAAUUCAAUCGACUGGUCGUCGCAACGCCGCGCUCCUCCGCGAGGGUGCGACACCCUAGAUGUCACCAUUGCUCUCAACUCAUCUUUAUAAGCCAAAAUGCUUUGCAAUGCAAUGAAAUUGGUGGCAAAACGAAUAGGAGCUGGACGAAGUAUUUCUUUUCCUCCAGUGAACUUCCUCAUCAAAUACAAUGGAUAACAAUGAUUAUAAAUAUACUUUGUGAUACCAGAAGCAUGCUCAACAACACAACAAACUGACUGCAAUUUACCAAUAUCUUGGAGUAUGAGGUUGAUGUAAUGAGCAGCAUAAGGAGACCAAAAUAUUAAAGGAAAUUCUUCCAUCAAUAACUUGCCAGCAGCAACAUAAUUUGCAGCAUUAUCAGUCACCAUAUGCACAAUGUUUUCUACCCCAACAUACAAAACAACCUCUCUAAACAACUAAUACAACAAUCUAGCAGUCUUUGAGACAUCUGAUACAUCCACGGUUUUCAAAAAAACUGUUCCUUUAGGACAAUAUACUAAGAAGUUAAUUAAAGUCCUCCACUUCUGAUAUGUCCAUCCAUCAGCCAUUAAUGUGCAACCAGUCUUCUUCCAAAUCUCUCGAUAACUCUCAACAUAAAUCUUCACUUCAUCAACCGCUUUUGCCAAGUAAUAACCACGGAUAGCAUGCAAGUUUGGUCCUUUAUAACCAGGACCCAUGGCUGUUACAACAUCUAUGGCAUGCUGAUAAUACACAGAGUUAACAACAUUAAAUGGCACACAUGCAUCAAACAUCCACUUCGCUAAAGCAAGAUCACACCGUUCAACUGCUUCUUUCCUUUGCCAACAAUUCUGAAGAGACUUCUGAGCACCAGGAGUUGUUCCCGGCAUGAAAUAUGUCCCUAAUGUUGCAGAUUUCUUCUGCUUUCCAUAACUUGUAGUUGAUUGUUUUACAGGUGCUUUGAAUCUUUUUUUUUUUGCAACCUUCGGUGGUAACAUAUGUUUUUUAGUAUUGACAUCCUCAUCAUCCUCCUCAUCAUCACCAUCACCAUCAUCAUCUUCUAAUUGCCUAAUCAUCAUCUCUUCAUGCUCUCUUUGUUGUGCAUUAAAUGGAUUGAAAUCUACUUGCAUUUCUCUAACUCUUUUUUUUGUUUCAACAUUUCCUAUAAGGUUCAAAAGCAUUUGAUGUCGAACAUCAGGAGGACAUUUGCGACAUUGUUCAACUUCUCCUUUAGCUCCAGCUAAAUGUUGCUUAAAUCGAUUAAUGCCACCACCCGCAAAUACUUUAGCACAAUAUAAACAUACUAAUUUAGUUUUUUUACAUCCGACACUAAGUUCAGGAGCUUCCCUACAAUGACCCCAUGCCAAAUCUGUCUUCCUUUACUACCACUUGACAUGGAAAUUGAAGGUUGAGAUGAUUGGGCCGUUGAAGGAUCACUACUUGGAGUACUACCAUCAUGUGAAGACAUUUUAAAGACCUGGCAUAAUUUAUAAGAUAUCACUGGAAAAUUCUUUCAACCAGAUUACUAAUUACUACCAUAAUUAAAAAAUAUUUUUCUUCAGGUCAUGUUUAAUCUCACCUAGGCAAAUAAGCAGGAUUUAAUGAAAUUAAUUCAGAUUUGUGCUCAAUAUGUCAUCCAAUUGCAGUAAAACUUAAAGGAGAAAAAUAACCUAAAGAAUUAAUUAUCAAUAUGCUUUUAUAACACAUGCUCUCUUAAUUUCGGCAUCUCUGUCAUUGUAGCUUUUGUGUAGCAUAUUCUAAGAGAGAAAAACAUUACUGAAUUGAGCAGAAUAUUCAUAGCUACUUGCAUAAUAUUCACAAUAUUCACAGCUACAAAUUGAGCAGAAGUAAACGAACAGGGACAACAAAAAAUUAACAACAAUAUUCACGACAAAAAUUAACAAGGACAGCUAACAAUUAACGAACAAAAUAUUCACCGUUGAAGAUAUUUCUUCAGCUGCAAACUAUUUCUCUUCACCGUUGUAGUUUACCACAAUCAAGGGCUUGUCACGAGGAACUUCAAGGACUUUUAAUGGCCACUGUUGGAUAUUCCUCUGCACAAAAGUAUCACUAAAUCUCCUGCCAAUCCACAUUGUCGCAUAUUUUAACAUAUAGAUGUCUAAACUCGAAAGCAAGAACAAUUAAAUUUGACUAAAUUUGAACACUAAUUAAGCAAUAUUAAACGAACAGCCGAACAGGGACAACAAACAAUUAACAACAAUAUUCACAGCUACUUGUAUAAUAUUCACAAUAUUCACAGCUAGAAAUUGAGCAGAAGUAAACGAACAGGGACAACAAACAAUAUUCACAAUAUUCACGACAAAAAUUAACAGGGACAACCAACAAUUAACGAACAAAAUAUUCACAUUUCACAGCAAUAUUCACAUGAAUCACAUCAAUAUUCAACAGAGAUAAAAGAACAGAGAGGCCAUUUGAAUUCGCAGAAAAAAUAAUAAUAGAGAGGCCGAGAUACAUACUGUGGGAACGAGGAAGAAUUGACGGGUCAACAGAGGGAAGAACCGAUGGAUGAUGGAUCAACAGACUGAAUCAUUGAACAGAGGGAAGAACCGAAGCCACUGUUACACAGAUGGAAGAAGAUGAACAGAUGGAAGAAAAUGAAACAGAGGAUAACGAAAGGCGAAAGAAGAAAGAAACAAGUUAAAGUUCAUCUAACCUUUUGCUCAGAAUUGAAACGGCGAUUCAAGAGUCUUCUGUUCUUCUUCGCGACUGACUGACUGAGAGUGAAAUGGGUUUAACAAUUUCAAAAUUAGGUUUUCUUCUCAAGUCUGCAAUGGUAUCGUUUCGUGACUUUCGUUCCUCUAGCCUCUGCUCUUGUCGUUUUGGUCUUUUAAUUGUUAAAGGCCAAAACGAUGUCGUUUCUGGCAUGAGAAAAUAAAAAUAAAUAAACCCGGGUCUCAACCGGGUUUGGCCGGGCCGGCCGGGUCACGGGUCGACCCGCCGGGCCGAGCCGGGUCUUAAAACACUGGUUUGAAGGAACACGCAAGAAAGGCAGGCGACGAUAUUCAAGGAAGCAUGUGUGAGCUGUGAUUUUUUUGGUCCCUAGUUUCAUUUUAUGCAAACAGGAGCUGCAGGUAUAAGCCCUAAUCUCUCCUUCUUUGUUAUUUUUAUAUUAAGCAUUCGGUUGUAAAGCUUUUCUUCCUUCUGAAAUAAUUGGUUUUUUUUUAGAAAAACCAAGGCUUGCCUACUAUUUUUUUUCAUGAAUUUUGAGUUCAGUUGCUGCCCAUGUAAAAAGGGUUUGUCUUUCAUGUUUAGGAAUUUUUACAUUUAGGGACUUUCCUUUUGGUUUCCUUACACCCGUUGGAGUAGAAAUUAGCCGGGUUUUUUUUUUUUUUUUUAGUGAUUUCUCCUAGUUUUUUUUGUUUUUAUUCUGGCUAUCUGCGCAUUAAGUUGGCUUUGAAAUUUUUAUUGCUUUAAGCUUAUUAUAAAUCUUAGAAUAUAUAUGAUGACUUUUAGCUUUUUAUUGCGAUUUUUCUUUUGUGUUUAAUUGCGUUGCUUGUGUUUUCGAUAAAACAAAUUUUAAAAAGUUUUCUUGUGUGUUGCAUACGGCCAAUACCCUAACAUGUUUUGAAUUCCUUUUAUAUAUAUAUAUAUAUUUGAAGUUUCGAAAAAGGUGUUUUCGCAUGGAUUUCAUAAACACAACAAAAAAUUUAUUUUCUUGCAUUUCUGGAUUUUACAACAUGUUUGUAAAACUCCAAAGGGUAUUGGCCAAUAUUUCAAAAAAUAUAAAAAUCCUAUUUUAGGGGGAAUUCAUCUAUUAUUCACCGCUAAUGUUUAGAUAAAGAAAUCCUUAAAGGACGAAUAUCCAAAAUAUUUAUUGGGAGUAAUAAAUCCGCACACAUCCUUGAAAGAAACCUUGAUUAUAAUCGAGGAUAUUUCAAAUUUUUUUUACUCCACGGUUUACGAGCCAUGAGAGUAUAAAAUACUAAAAAACAUAGGUUUUUUUAGCGCCCUAGAUUCAUAGUUUUGAAACCCGACCCGGUCAAGUGACUAGGGCAGAGAAGCAACUUGUUUCUUGCAUCAUGUUUCCAUUGGAGCCGCACCCUCAUCAGCAGCAGCACCAGCACCCUCAUCACCAGUAUCACCCCCCUCAACGGCAGCAUCCGGUUCAACAGUAGCAGCCUCUGUCUCACCCACAAUCUUAAAUGCAUCAAUCAACUUUUGGACGGUUUCCUGAUCCAGUAUAUGAAAUGCCUCAUCAACUCCUAACACAGCAACAGUGCAGACAUAACUCUUGAGUGUUUCUCCUUGUAAGGUUUCUCUGACUGCAAUGAGAGCUUCCUUGAUUAAAUCAUCCCUUGAAGAGUCACAAAAAUUCUCAAAUCUGCGUUCCAGGUAUGUCUUUGCAGCUUGUGAAUGGGAUCCUAUUGCAAAGGCCUGGUAUUCAAAGUAGUUCCCACUGGGACAAUUGUAAUAGGGAUUCAAACCUUUUUCGCUGAGAUUAAUGGUUAAUUGCUUCGUUCUUCUUCUUCUUCAGUUCUUUGUUCUUCUUCAAAUUUAAACGACAUUGUUUAAUGACAGGGAAAAUAAAAAAAAAAUUGACCGGGUCUCACCCGGGUCUGGCCGGGUGGACCGGGUCCCGGGUCGACCCUCCGGGUCUGGCCGAGCCAAUUCCCAAGCGGGUUUUGGCCUCCACCCGGCCCGGUCCCAUGCCCGGGUCGGCCCGUCGGGCCGGGCCGGGUUUUAAAACACUGCCUAGAUUUCUAAUUAUGUCAGAUUGGGCCAAACUUAAAGGACCUGGGCUGACAAGGAAAAAAUAGUUUGACGCGCGGAUGGGUUGACUAGACAAGUUGCCCAGCCGACCAGUAAAAGUGCGAGAAGACAAGUUGGGCCGAAGGCUAAGUUCGGCCACAUGGCCUAACUGGAUAGAUGAUUGGGCCAAAGGCCCAAGCAUCCUAAAAAACCAGGUUGUUAAUAUCGAUAUUAUUCUAAUCUUAUUAAUUUUUAUUGUGUUUUUCUAAAAAAGAUUUGCUAACCAAUCAUUUUAAUUAGUGAACUAAUGCGUUUUAAAGGGGUGAAAAAAAAAACACAAAAUAUUCAGUGGGAAAUUAUUGUAAAAAAACUGCAAUAAUUAUUAACGAAUACAGUUAUGAAAAAAAAAAAACACAAAAUUUAACACGACUUAACUUUUAUUUUUUACUAAGUCAAAAUAAGAUCACAUAAUAUAUAUUUAUAGUAAAUCUUGGAUCGUCCAGUAAGAACCUAGCCGCUCAUUAACUCCUUAUCAGAUGGGGAGACAACAUCCAUGAACUCCUUAUCAGAUUCUAAAGCAGUCAUUUCAUCAGGGGAGAGGCAAAUCUCUAACUCUAUACUUCCUCCACCUUCAUGUCCAGGAUAAGCGGAUGCUUUCCCGCUGAACUUGUGUGCAUAUCCACUGCGAAGUGCCAAAGCCUUCCCCAGUCCAAAUUCAUUCCCAUACUUGUUGAAUCUUGGUGAGCUCCCCAUCAUCACACUAUGUGGAUCAAACAGCUUGCCUAUCUGGUAAAUAAACGGGGACUUUAACCACAAGUUGAGAAGUUCCCUUACCUUUUCAUCACUGUGGCUCACCACAGCUUGAUGUAACUGCCAUGCUGCCCAUCCAAGAUUGUGCUCCAGCAGCUCACCUGCGGUUGAAACCCCAGCUCAGUGGCUGAAUUGAGUUUCCAAAGUAGUCAGGAGAUAAUGGGGGAUUCAAUCUUGAACGAUUAUUGGUAGCCAAUCUGCAACAGGUUACUUGAUCAUGAGGUAGAUUGCGUGCGCGUGUUAUGCAUCUCCAAACAAGAGCAGACAGCGACUGGAAAGAUGAAAUCUUGUUGGUGUUGAACUCUGCGUUGGCCUUUGCUUUGAGUCUUGCAAUUGAUUCUGAUGAGAAGUGAAACAUCCUUUCCUUGAGUAAAGGUGCUUCAAACGGGCUUAAGAAUUGGUCGUGGUGGGUGAAAGGAAGACUCAGUACGGGACCAUGACCAUCAGGAAACCAGCGGUUGAGAACAGGCGGGCGCGAUAUCGAGACAUCGUCUCCUUUCCCUUGAAAGAUUUCAGACCACAUAUUAAAGAAAUGCCAGAAAGAGGAUCCAUCAACGAUACUGUGAUUAAUGGAACAUCCAAUGAAGAUGCCAUCAGUUAGCUCUGUCACUUGAAUCGUCAGCAAAGAUUUGGUGUGACCAUCAUGGUUGAGGGCUCUAUCAUGGUCGAAGAAUGACUGAACAACCAAUGGAACAUAAGUAGGUGAAAGGACAUCUGACGUGGUGAGGUCAACGGUUGCAUAGGUAAAUCUAGCUCCUGGACUGUUAUUGCAGUCCACGAAGACCACGUAGGAAGGCGGGUUCUCACUCUUCGAUGUUGCAAGGCGUCCGGCUAGCGGGUAGAAAUGAACAAGAGUGAGAGAGAGGGACUGCUUGAGAUCUUCCAAGAAAUCCGUGAUCUUGAAGCCCUGUUGAUUUUCUGUUUGUGGUGGUUUGGCAAAGAGAAGCCCCUUUUGAAUAUACUGAACAGAAAGCAUAACAAGAUCCCAUGGUGCCAAAUAAUAAGGUUGUCUUGCUUCUUCUACAAUGUGCUUGGGCUUGAUAAAGCACUCUGAGAUGGGCGUGACAGUAGUGGGAUUCAUUGCAAGAAGGGCCUCGUCUGCCUACCUUGUCCUCUUUAGAUUUACAGCUUCAGCUUUUGUAGCCGUCGCUGAGCGAGCCUGUUUGACACGGUACUACUUAUUAUUUUUUAAUUUUUAAAAAAAUUUAAAAUAAAUUACAUCAAAAUAAUUUAAAAAUACUAAUAAAAAAUAAUAAAAUAAUAUAUAUUUUUUUCUUUCUAAAAACACUUUUCCACCCAUAUUAGUCAAAAAAACAUUGAUGUUCCUGGCAAUUUCUUUUUCUAAACCUUUUUGUUUAACGAAUAGAACCCGGUCAACAUUGAACAAGUAGCGUAUGCUCUGUGCUAUAGUUUCACCUACUACACUUUUGACAAUUUCGCUGUAGGUGGUUGCGGAUCCUAAUUACAAAAAAUAUUAAAAGUCAUACUUAUUUAUGUGCCAUGUUCGUUGUAGUAGUGUUUUUACUGUUUUUUCCUUAUAUAAAAACGUUUUGUUUAUAGCUGUAUUUUUCUUCUCUCACCGUAGGUGUUGUUGAUCUCUGAAUCCAUAUUUCUGCCCAUCGGACAUCAAAAAAAUUUGCAGACCCUGAGCUACAUGUCAUCAACCCAGAAUAAACUAAGUGUUCGUCUUAUUGUUCAAUUUAAAGUUCGAGUGAAGUUGUUCAUUUUAUAAAUAAGAACCAUGCUGUUCUUGGGAAAAAAUUGUAAUCUGUUGAAGAUAAAGAUUUCCGAUAAGCUAAUCAAUGACACACAAGUUCGAUUUGGUUCUUAGCCAAUUAAAAAAUUUCAUCCAAGUGUAGUUGAAGAGAAACCGAGGGUGGGGGUGUGGGAGAAGGGAGUGAGGUAGCCAUUUCAGUUAGAACAUGAUUCAAAUCAUGAUUGCUAUUAUUUUUUAAAAAUUAUUUUUAAUAUUAACGCAUUAAAAUGAUCUAAAAACAUUAAAAAAUAUUAAUUUAAAAAAAAAAUUUAUUUUUUUCAAAAAUAUUUUUAAAAUAUAAAAAUAAAGUGGCUUUAAACUUUUUUCUCAAUUUCCUAUUCAAUGUGCAAAAAUAUUCUCAAACUUUAUUUUUGCUUGCGAAUACUUAAUUACUGGUUUAAUUUUAAAAUUUCAAAUAUUUUUUUUAUGCUUUCCAGAUUCUUUUAACACACAAAGAUUAAAAAAAAAAUAACAAAAUUUAGAUUUUUGUAAUUUAAAAAAAGAUUUAAAAAUUGAGUUAUAACAAUGAAGGUGGAAUGCUGAUUAGGGUUUAGUUAGAAUUAAACUUUAGAUUUCAGAUUUAAGUGGGUUUAUGUUGAAUUUAGAAUUUAAAUUUGGUAUUUUGGUUUGAGGCUUAAUAUAUUAAAAAUAAAAAAUAUUGUUGAUACUAAUAUUUUUUUGAAAAGAAAAUAUGAUCGGACUAGAGUGUUUUUAUAUUUUUUAAAAAAUACAAGGUCAUUUUCACACAUGUUUAAUUUAAAAAAAAUACUCAAAUGAUAAUUUUUCUUCUUCUUCGUUAUCUAACUCAAUAACUCAAUCCUUGAUUCAAAGAAAAGGAGAUGUCCAUCAUUCCAAUAAUCAUUUUUUAUGAUUAUUAUGACUAAUAAUGGUGUUACUUAAUUUUAGAUGUUGGCUAUCCUAACAUUCUUGAUUUCUCAACUCCGUAUCAUUACAAACUUCAUCUUAACGAGUUAUAUAUAUAUAUAGAGAGCAUCUAUCAUUAUGAAAUGUCAUCAAAAGAUGUUCUAGUGCAUUGAAGGUUAGAUUUAAUAUUUUAAAUGUUAUUCUAAGUUAUCCACUAUAACGAUAAUAAUUAAUUUCAAUUGCUUGUUGCUCGUUAUUUAAAAAACAUGGUGGAGAAUGAUUGUAAUUUCUCAGCAAGGGGGGAGGAGCUGAGCUGAGCCGGUGUCUUGUUCUGCCAAUUUAACUCUUUUUUUAUGGGUGUAUUUUAAUUGACGAAGGUGGAAUCACACCCAUGCCAUUUCCAAGAUAGUCAACUGAUUACCGCGUGGUUUGCGCACAUGUGCCACAUGGCACGAUUGUAUUUCCCAGCGAUUUCUUGUGUUUUUCCCACCUGGUCUGAAUCCCAGAUAAAUACUUUGGUUAUUAGUUUGUUUAAAUUUAAUGUAUAUUGUUUUUAAGAAAUAAACAUCCAUGUUUUUUUAAAGGACUGAUAUCUAAAUUUAAAAAUUAAAUAUGGUUACAUUUAUUUUUAGCAAUUUUGACAUAAAUUGUUUUUAGAAUUUAAUGUCAACGAUGUUUACGAGUUUUUUUAAUUUUACAGAAUGACACCAAGAUUUUCAUAAGACAAUCAGAAAUUAAAAAAUAAAAAUAAAAAUAAAAGGCUAGUGUAAUUAAUAAUAACUAAAAAUAAUAAAUUGAAGAGAAAAUAAAUAAUGAAGAUAAUUUUUCAUAAAACAAUCAGAAAUUAAAAAAGUAAAAAUAAAAAGCUAGUGUAAUUAAUGAAAAUUAAAAAUAAUAAAUUUAAGAGAAAAUAAAUAAUAAAGAUAAUUUUUCAUAAAAAAGAAUUCAAAUAGUUUUCUUUUUAAACCUAUUAUCUAAAUAUCUAUAGCUAGUGUUUAUAUUUAGAAUCCUUAAUUUUCUGAAAUUACUGGGCAAUGAAUCUAAAUUUCAAACAAUACUUGUGUUCUUGUCCCUACAACUACAUCUACCGAGGGACAACAUUCAUUGUGAGCAUUAAUGGUUCCACAGAAACACUCACUGUUUGAGUGGCGAUGGUGCUUUGUCUAAAUCUUGUCGUUGUUUAGCAAAGUGACCGCUUCAAGCUGCCUCAUACGUUCUUCCAUACGACCAAGGGUGGGUGGUUUCUAAUGCACUCCACACAGUUGCGAGUCCCAUUAGCUUCAAACAACACUCUGAUUCAAAAAUCUUUCUACAAAAACACAAACCAAAAUCUCUAACAAAAUUCCAUUUGCAUGUCUGUUUGAAUUACUUGUAUGGCCAAAAAGAAAAGGAAAUUUUUAGAAGAUUGCAAAGAGGCACUUCACUCGCAGAAAUCACAUGUUUAGUGAAUGAAAGGAACAUUUAAGAAACGAAAUACAUACAUUAAUAAAAUCUAGAUACCCUUUGAAAAACAUGGUUCACCAAUCCAUUUAUACUGUUCGCGUAAACAGUGCAUUGAUAUCUUAGCCCUUUCAAGAAAAAUGGCAUCCUUUAGUAUUGGCAUAAUUUGGUAUUUUAACUGUCAUUAGUCAUUAAAAAUUAGUUUGGAGUAUAAUUAUUUUUUUCAUAUAUUUUUAGUAGGGGUGAGCAUUUCCGAUUCGGUCCGGUUUUGAGUCAAAAUAAAUAACCAAAUCAAUUUUUUUUUUAGAUUUUUGAACCGAACCGAAUCGAAAACCGGUUCAAACCAACCAGUUUCGGUUCGGUUCGGUUUUUUUCCCUUCCAAACCGGUCAGUUCGGUUCGCUAGGUUGAAAAUCUAUGAAAUGAAAUGAUGUCGUUUCUGUACAAGCCAAAAUAAACAAUUUUCUCCCUGAAAAGUAUGAAAUCUAGGGAUUGAUUCUAGCUUCAAGACGAAGCAGAACAAGUAACUGCUACCGCUUCGUGAGCUUCCUCUUUUUCUUCCGAGUUUGCUUGAAAUGUAACUCGACAGUAUAAAGAACUUGAACAGAGCAUGACAGAACAAAACCAGUAGCUUUGAGCUUUCAAUGACCAAGAGAAGGAAAACAAAAUCAAGAUUUGGAAGAUCGUAUCAAAAAAACUGAUUUUCCUCUCCUCCCCAGUUGAAGUAUAAGAUGAAAGUCUGGCUAGAGCGAAUAGAAAAAGUGGAUUAUUAAACUCACUGCCCGUCCUCCCUUUCCUUUCAAUAGCUGUUUGUAUGUGUGCCUCAGUACCUGUAUGGGGGAGGCUGCUGGGUAAGAAUCUUGGGGCUGCUAGUUAAGAAUCUUAAGAUUAGAGAAAGAGAGAUGCAGAGAGUAAAACAAAUGGAGGGGCGGCUAGUUAUGUGUUCAGGGAAUGCUCUUUUAGGUUUAGGGUUAGAAAAAGCUAUGUAUUUAUACUUGUUUUUUUUUUUUAAGUGUGGGCUUGGUUGAACCGGUUCGGUUCAAUCGGUUUCAAACUUUUGAAACCGAAACCGAACCGAACGGAUUUUUUUUGUGAUUUUUUAAUCGGUUAAUUCGGUUUUUUUUCGGUUCGGUUUUUUCGGUUAUUUUUUUUCUGGUUUUCUCGGUUUUCGGUUUAUCGGUUUUUUUGCUCACCCCUAAUUUUUAAUGCAAUAAAAUGAUAUAAUUACUUUUAAAAUAAUAAAUUAUAAAAGUAGAGGGGAGGUGUAAAAAAGUCUUUUUGUUUGUGUUAAUGAGGAAGUCUUUUUGUUUGUGUUAAUGAGUCGUGGAUUGACAAGUCAUUAGAGAAAAAAAACCUAAACUAUAGGGUUAGGGGCCUUUAGUUUUUUUUCACUAUUUUUUUUUUCUAAUUAUAUAAAGGGUAUACAUGUUCUUUUGUAUUAAAUAAAUAUUUUUCAAUCUUAAGAAGUUAUUGGUAUCUGCACAGUACGCGUCAUCAUAUAAGAGGUACUUGAAUACUUUAGAAAGAGCAUAUACUGCCUUGCUAUGUCUCUAGAUGCUUUGCUAUGUCCUUUUCCUCUCAAAGCAAUGAAAUUUGAUAUAAAUUCAAAAAUUUUGAUAAAGGCACAGUAAAUAGAACACAAGCAGCAACAACAAUAAAAUUUGUAGAUCAAUUCAAUAAUUGCAGUGUUAAUAGUAAUCGAGCAUGCAAUAGCACAGCUAUGCAAUUUUUCAUCUAAGAAAACAAAAAUGAAGAUGGAGAUAAGGCAGGAACUUACCUCAGUCUCUCUCUUUGUUCUGCAAAUCACCACGGUGCUGCAGCUUUGUUCUGCAAAAACAAAAACAAUAAAGACCCAUUAUAGAAAUUAAAUUUUGAGCAACAUGUUAAACAAAAUUGACAAGGGGAACGCACAAUACUUACUACUAUCUCGCUCGUGGACCUUUCCCAGCACGAAUCUCUUGGGUUUUUUCUACAAUUGUAACAAUGGAGGGACAUAUCGGUGAAGGUUUGUGUUUUCGAUCUUCGUUUGGAAAGAAUGGACAGAGGGGAAGAAGCUUGCUCUGGCGUUGGUGGUUUUAGGGCAAAAUAGAAAUGGAGUUGUAGCAAGAGAAGAGAGAGAAGAAUAGUUUGGGGAAGGAAAUUGGGGUUUAGUUCAUCAAUGCUAACAUUGAUUUGCAACCGUAACAGAAACAUUUGUGAGGUUAAGGACCGUAAUUGAUCUUGGUUACUAGGAAAGUUUCAGUGGUUAUAGAGAGGUGAAACGCAUGAAGGAACAAUAUAGGGAAGGUUGAAACUGGGUGUUUAGAUCAAUGUUAACAUUGAUCUACAACAACCUUCUGUGAACAAUUUGUUGGGUUUUUGUGGCCGUUGGGAAAUUGGGUUAAAGAGGGACAAAGGACACUUGGGAAAGUAAUUGCAAAUUUUCGGUGAUGACAGAAAGGAGAAACGCAUGAAAAGCAAUGCAUAAUUGCUUUUCACUUUUUGCAUUUCAACCGCAAUUUGAACUGGGACCCAUGUAAAAACAAAUUGUGGUUCGUGGUUAACCAAACAUGUUGUCGCACCCGACAUCGCGGCGGCCUUAAAAAUUAAUUCUCUUGAAUUAUGAAAAAAGAAUAGAUUUCUGGCAUCUGGUUCUUUUAGGGAAAAGGUCUUGUUUGAGGAGUCGCCACCUAGUAUUUUGGUCACUAGGAACCCUAACUGGUCAACAGAGAUUCUAUGGCUCGGGAUUGGUUACGUAAAAGGAAAGAUAUUAUCACCUCUUAAACGUUCUGCCUAAGGCAGACUGCAUUGCUGGUUUUGUCUUAAAUUGCUAAAUAUUUAUUAGUUUAUGUUAUGAUGAUUUAUUUAAAAUAUUCCUGACUCUGGCGCCAGUGAAUAUUUGAGCUCAAAUAAUUCCAACUCUGACGUUGGUAAAAAUUCGUAGCUACGAAAAUUAAAUUAAAUCAAUAUUUUUUUAUUCUCUACUCUAGCGCUAGUGAAUAAAUAAAUAAAAAUAAAUUUAUUUUAAGUAUGCACAUAUUUUUUUAUUUUUCUAGCUAAAUGAAAAAAAAUACAACGAACAAAAAUAAUAUAAAUUUAAACCGGUAUUUUUAUUCCUGACUCUGACAUCAGUGAAUAAACCAAUAAAUUUACAUUAUUUUUAUUCAUGCAUAUAUAUAUAUAUAUAUAUAUAUACAUAUAUAUAUAUAUAUACAUAUAUAUUCUGUUUUUUUCAAUUUUUUUUCAUUUUUCGGGCUGGGCCCAGCCCAGCCUGGUCACUGGCCCAAGCCAGUGACCAGGCGCCAGCGUGCGUGAAUUGUUCACGCACGCUGGCUACAGUCAGUGUUAAUUAAAUUUCAAAUGCACAGUAUUGGGGGAAUUAAAAUUGUAAGCAGGGGAAAUGAUGCAACUGACCCGUAACUGUUGGAGACAAAGACGAUGGCGAUGAAGACGUGGCGUUGAUGGUCGAACGGGCACUCUCUCCUCUACUUCUUCUUCUGUUCGUCUGCUGUUCUUUUUUUUUUGUUCUUUUUUCCUGCUUUCUCAGUCCUUGUGAUGAAGAAAAGAGGACGGUACUGGCUUAUCCUUUCGAAUUUGGGUUUGGUUUCAGUCUCUGUUCGGCUCUGUGAUCUGCCGAUUCUUUCCCCAGUUUUGGUGUUUCGGUUCCUGCUCUGCCCCCUGUUUUUUUCUUGUUUCAGUCCCCCUCGGUGUCUCCUCUGUCUUAUGCCUUUUCUUCUUUGUCUGUGAGUUCAGUGGUAAGGGGGGAAGGUGGUGCAACCGUGGUCGCGGCUUAGCACUGGUAGAAGGCGACAAUGAAUGGUGCAGUCGCUUGCCAAAAUUUGCUCUCUCCUCUGUAUAAUCUCCCUCUAUUCUCCUUUGGUUUGUUUCGGUUUCAGUUGUUUUGAAGCCGGUGCUGGUAAGGGGAAAAGUUCACUUCUGGUAUGGGAUUAACAAAAAACCUGAGUCCCUCUGGUCUAUUUGGGUCGGUCUUGUUUCAGGUUUUGUUCGUCUCUCUCUCCCUAACUCUCCAACCAGCCCCUGCUCUUUGGUGCAGCUCGGUUUAUAUAGAACUUGGUGGGUUGGUAACAGAUGGUAGGCUGAGGAUCGGCCACCAUUAAGGCGCUCAUAACUGAGGCCAACGGACGACGAUUACUGCUGCAACGUUUCUUCCUCCAUUACUGCAGCAACGGUCACUGGCUCAAAGGAGAAGAUGAACAGUCGACAGCGUCUUCAAAACGACGCCGUUUGGAGAUAAAAACCGGCCAUUUUACGUUUUGACCCAUGUAGUUUUAAAACUCUUAUAAUUAAGCCCUUGGUUUAAACUGUAAUUGGCCCCUGCAUUUGUGCGCCAUUUUCAAUGUAAUCCUUGGAUUUUAAUUUCGCAAUUUGGACCCAAAACGUUAAUAUUUAUUCAAUUAAGUCCCUGAUUUCAUUAAUUCAAUUAAAUCCAAGUUCAAUUAAGUCUCAAACCUUAUCAAUUCUCCAAUUAAACCCUUAAUUGGAUUAAUUAAAUUAAUUCCAAGCUUAAUUAAGUCUCAAAACUUAUUAAUUCUCCAAUUAAACCCUUAAUUGGAUUAAUUAAAUUAAUUUCAAGCUUAAUUAAGUCUCAAAACUUAUCAAUUCUCCAAUUAAACCCUUAAUUGAAUUAAUUAAAUUAAUUUUCAAGUUUAAUUAAGUCUCAAAACUUAUCAAUUCUCCAAUUAAACCUUUAAUUGGAUUAAUUAAAUUAAUUCUAAGCUCAACAAAUUAUAAUUCAUAGUUAACCAAACAUGUGUUACACUGCUUUUUUUUUAAGCGUAGCCGCACCAGCAUAUCCAAACACCAUCGAAAUUGAAUAGAAGUUGCGGCUGUAAAAGCUGAAGCUACAAAUCUGAAGUGGGCAAGAUAAGGUGAAGAGGAACCAACUAGUGCCCUUCUUACAAUGAAUCCCACUACGGUCAAACACAUCACAGAGUGCUUUCUCAAGCCCAAGCACAUCGUAGACGAAGCAAAGCAGCCUUAUUAUUUGUCACCAUGGGAUCUUGCUAUGCUUUCUUCUCACUAUAUUCAAAAGGGACUUCUCUUUCCCAAACCACCACAAACAGAAAAUCAACAGGGCUUCAAGAUCAUGGAUUUCUUGGAAGAUCUCAAGCAGUCCCUCUCUCUCACUCUUGUUCAUUUCUACCCGCUUGCCGGACGCCUUGCUACAUCGAAGAGUGAGAACCCACCUUCCUAUGUGGUCUUCGUGGACUGCAAUAACAGUCCAGGAGCUAGAUUUACCUAUGCAACCGUUGAUCUCACCACAUCAGAUGUUCUUUCACCUACUUAUGUGCCACUGGUUGUUCAGUCAUUCUUCGACCAUGAUAGAGCCCUCAACCAUGAUGGUCACACCAAAUCUUUGCUGACAAUUCAAGUGACAGAGCUAACUGAUGGCAUCUUCGUUGGAUGUUCCAUUAAUCACAGUAUCGUUGAUGGAUCCUCUUUCUGGCAUUUCUUUAAUAUGUGGUCUGAAAUCUUUCAAGGGAAAGGAGAUGAUGUCUCCAUCUCGCGCCCGCCUGUUCUCAGCCGCUGGUUUCCUGAUGGUCAUGGUCCAGCACUGAGUCUUCCUUUCACCCACCACGACCAAUUCUUAAGCCCGUUUGAAGCACCUUUACUCAAGGAAAGGAUGUUUCACUUCUCAUCAGAAUCAAUUGCAAGACUCAAAGCAAUAGCCAACGCAGAGUUCAACACCAACAAGAUUUCAUCUUUCCAGUCCCUGUCUGCUCUUGUUUGGAGAUGCAUAACACGCGCACGCAAUCUACCUCAUGAUCAAGUAACCUGUUGCAGAUUGGCUACCAAUAAUCGGUCAAGAUUGAAUCCACCGUUAUCUCCUGACUACUUUGGAAACUCAAUUCAGGCACUGAGAGCUGGGGUUGCCACAGCAGGUGAGGUGCUGGAGCAGAAUCUUGGAUGGGCAGCAUGGCAAAUGCAUCAAGCUGUGGUGAACCACAGUGAUGAAAAGGCGAGGGAUUUUCUCAACUUGUGGUUAAAGUCUCCUUUUAUUUACCAGAUAGGCAAGUUGUUUGAUCCGCAUACUGUGAUAAUGGGGAGCUCACCAAGAUUCAACAAGUAUGGGAAUGAAUUUGGACUGGGGAAGGCUUUGGCACUUCGCAGUGGAUAUGCACACAAGUUCAGCGGGAAAGCAUCAGCUUAUCCUGGACAUGAAGGAGGAGGAAGUAUAGACCUGGAGAUUUGCCUAUCCCCUGAUGAAAUGACUGCUUUAGAAUCUGAUAAGGAAUUCAUGGAUGUUGUCUCUCAAUCUCCUUGUUAACAGUCCAGCUAGCCGCAGAGUACUUAAUUUGCAAAAAAGCUGUACCAAGCAGAUGAUCACCAUGUCUCCUUUUCUUUUUUCUUUUUUGCUAAGAACACAAAUCAAUAAUUUACUCUGCAUCUGUACUGAAAAUGCAAUGAAAAGAUUUGUGUUUUUCAAUCAUUUCCCACAAAUAAUUUACACCUUCCUCGGGAGCCAAAGCAUUGACAGCAAAAAUCAUUUCCCACUGAAUAAUAUUUUGGUUUUUUUUUACCCCUUUAAAACGUAUUAAUUCACCAAUUAAAAUGAUUGGUUAGCAAAUCUUUUUUUUAAAAUAUAAAAUUAAUAAAAUUAUCUAACCUAAUGGUCAAUAUGUUUCACUUGGAUUGAAAGGCUAUACAUAAUAGCAAAUUAUGUGUAUAAAAUUCUGACAAUGGAUCAUAAAAUAAUUUCAUUCUUUAUACUUUUUUCGUAAGCCUAUGAGUCACUUUACCUAUAUUUGAAAAUUUCGGUUUCAAUUUUCAAAUUCAAAAUGGUGUUUUGCUAUGAAGAGGAGAUGCAGGGGUGAGAUUGACUUAGGCUUAGCUAAGGGAAUAGAAGGUCUACAUCAUUUUGUUUGCCAAUACUAACUUCACACGGUCCAUUAAUUCAUUGGAUUAGGAAAGAGUGCUGAAUGGUUUGCAAAAUCUAGACCUAGUUUUACUGGCAGAAAAAUCAUUACACGUUCCUUUGAGUGUGUAGUUCUAGUUUUAUUAUGCAGGGUUGGAAUUUCGAAUUCUUGGUAUGCUAUUCAUUUGCGUGGUGCAAGGUCUCCAGAUAUUUGGUAGAACUUGAUAGAUUUUCGUUUUGAGUGUUUUGUGUAACUCGUUUG